RNAcentral lists this non-coding RNA (26 nucleotides) under Mus musculus (house mouse). Lineage: Eukaryota; Metazoa; Chordata; Mammalia; Rodentia; Muridae. The record is from RNAcentral.
GUGGUUUGCAACAAGCUUGGUCUGUU